RNAcentral lists this ribosomal RNA (281 nucleotides) under uncultured bacterium. Its description in RNAcentral is "partial 16S ribosomal RNA". It matches the Rfam family "Bacterial small subunit ribosomal RNA", at positions 505 to 784 of the family's 1533-position model. The record is from RNAcentral.
GUGCCAGCAGCCGCGGUAAUACAUAGGGGUCAAGCGUUGUCCGGAUUUAUUGGGCGUAAAGAGCUCGUAGGCGGUUCAACAAGUCGGUCGUAAAAGUUUAGGGCUCAACCCUAAAAUGUCGAUCGAUACUGUUGUGACUAGGAUGCGGUAGAGGUGACUGGAAUUCUCGGUGUAGCAGUGAAAUGCGUAGAUAUCGAGAGGAACACCAGUGGCGAAGGCGAGUCUCUGGACGAUUCCUGACACUGAGGCACGAAAGCUAGGGGAGCAAACAGGAUUAGAUA